Molecule: ribosomal RNA, 356 nt
Filed under: uncultured Bolidomonas
Lineage: Eukaryota; Bolidophyceae
Description: partial Eukaryotic large subunit ribosomal RNA
Rfam family: Eukaryotic large subunit ribosomal RNA
Source: RNAcentral
GACAUGGGUUAGUCGAUCCUAAGGCAUAGGGAAGUUCCGUUUUAAAGGCGCCCUCGUGCGCCGUUUGCCGAAAGGGAAGCCGGUUAACAUUCCGGCACCUAGAUGUGGAUUCUCCACGGCAACGUAACUGAACGCGGAGACGUCGGCGGGGGUCCUGGGAAGAGUUCUCUUUUCUUCUUGACAGCCUAUCACCCUGAAAUCGGUUUGUCCGGAGCUAGGGUUCUAUGGCUGGCAGAGCGCCGCACUUUUGCGGCGUCCGGUGCGCCCCCGACGACCCUUGAAAAUCCGCGGGAAGGAAUAGUUUUCACGCUAGGUCGUACUCAUAACCGCAGCAGGUCUCCAAGGUGAACAGCCUC